RNAcentral lists this long non-coding RNA (582 nucleotides) under Fukomys damarensis (Damara mole-rat). RNAcentral describes it as "lncRNA (ENSFDAG00000029019.1)". The record is from RNAcentral. Lineage: Eukaryota; Metazoa; Chordata; Mammalia; Rodentia; Bathyergidae.
GGGGGGCCCAGCAACGCACACGACCAUGCCUCAGUCCAGGGUAUAAAUCUCAAUUAAACCUUCGGGCUGCAAUUCCUCACCCUGCGCGCCUGCUUUGGGAUGACACGCCAGGGGGCGCAGGGGUCGAGGUAUAGGAGCGGGCGCUCUGGGGUGCUGGAAGGAUCACAGAAAGGGCCGAGCAGGACGGGAGCGGGCCCUGGGUGUGGACCGGGGUGAGGUGCCCCGCACCACCUUUUGCAGGGCUCGAACCCGUGGCCGACCUGGCAGUUCCGCGCACCCUGUCCGGCUGCGCCCAGCCUAGCAGAGGGGCGGAAGAGGUGGUGUCCUCCAGAGUUUGGGCAGUGAGAUUGGAUAUUUGCAGUUCCACACAACAGAAAUCUGUCUUUUAAGUAAGGUGAGAAAAAUUAAGUUUCCUAAUGUUUAAGUUCGGUAGGAGUAACCUUUACUUUUGAAAAUCUGUUACCUCUUUAUUUUUGUGCAUUAAGCACCACAGAGAGCCAAAUAAGAUUAGAGACAAUUAUAUAAGAGACGGCCUUUGUCUCUAUUCCAUCUUUUCACAUGACACUCUUUCCACUUUUACCU